This 496-nucleotide ribosomal RNA is filed under the name uncultured bacterium. Its description in RNAcentral is "partial 16S ribosomal RNA". It matches the Rfam family "Bacterial small subunit ribosomal RNA", at positions 29 to 507 of the family's 1533-position model. The record is from RNAcentral.
AUGCACGCUGGCGGCGUGCCUAAUCCCUGCCAGUCGAGCGAACGGACGAGAAGCUUGCUUCUCUGAUGUUAGCGGCGGACGGGUGAGUAACACGUGGAUAACCUACCUAUAAGACUGGGAUAACUUUGGGAAACCGGAGCUAAUACCGGAUAAUAUUUUGAACCGCAUGGUUCAAAAGUGAAAGACGGUCUUGCUGUCACUUAUAGAUGGAUCCGCGCUGCAUUAGCUAGUUGGUAAGGUAACGGCUUACCAAGGCAACGAUGCAUAGCCGACCUGAGAGGGUGAUCGGCCACACUGGGACUGAGACACGGUCCAGACUCCUACGGGAGGCAGCAGUAGGGAAUCUUCCGCAAUGGGCGAAAGCCUGACGGAGCAACGCCGCGUGAGUGAUGAAGGUCUUCGGAUCGUAAAACUCUGUUAUUAGGGAAGAACAUAUGUGUAAGUAACUGUGCACAUCUUGACGGUACCUAAUCAGAAAGCCACGGCUAACUACGUG